GGACCCGCACAAGUAGUGGAGCAUGUGGUUUAAUUCGACGCAACGCGAAGAACCUUACCAGGUCUUGACAUCCUGAUUUUGGUUGUUAGAAAUAACUUCCUUCAGUUCGGCUGGAUCAGUGACAGGUGCUGCAUGGCUGUCGUCAGCUCGUGUCGUGAGAUGUUGGGUUAAGUCCCGCAACGAGCGCAACCCUUAUCUUUAGUUGCCAUCAGGUCAAGCUGGGCACUCUAGAGAAACUGCCUGGGAUGACCAGGAGGAAGGCGAGGAUGACGUCAAGUCCUCAUGGCCCUUAUGGGCUGGGCUACACACGUGCUACAAUGGCGGUUACAAUGGGAAGCAAUAGGGUGACCUGGAGCUAAUCCCCAAAGGCCGUCUCAGUUCGGAUUGUUCUCUGCAACUCGAGAACAUGAAGUCGGAAUCGCUAGUAAUCGU
This 432-nucleotide ribosomal RNA is filed under the name uncultured bacterium. Its description in RNAcentral is "bacterial SSU rRNA". It matches the Rfam family "Bacterial small subunit ribosomal RNA", at positions 917 to 1345 of the family's 1533-position model. The record is from RNAcentral.